This 342-nucleotide transfer-messenger RNA is filed under the name Lachnospiraceae. RNAcentral describes it as "UBA11774 sp003507655 Standard tmRNA". It matches the Rfam family "transfer-messenger RNA". Rfam says of the family: Bacterial tmRNA, also known as 10Sa RNA or SsrA, is named for its dual tRNA and mRNA-like properties. Its role is to liberate the mRNA from a stalled ribosome. To accomplish this part of the tmRNA is used as a reading frame that ends in a translation stop signal. Lineage: Bacteria; Bacillati; Bacillota; Clostridia; Lachnospirales. RNAcentral also lists the same sequence under 1 other name. The record is from RNAcentral.
GGGGUAGUAAUGGUUUCGACAGGGAUGAUGAAGCUGGAGAAGCGAGUCGAAAGAAAUUGCGUCAAAUUUCACAAUUAAAUUUAAACGCUGAAGAUAAUUUAGCAUACGCUGCCUAAGUGCAGCAGUCUGACCUAGGGCACUCAUACCUUAGGAGCCAGGCUUCGACUAUGUGAGAAACGACUUAUGCUAAGCUUUGCACAUAAGGGCGUAUUAUGAAGCUACUAAAGCGGUAACUGUGUCUGUUGCAGGUAUCGUGGAGGGAAUGUUAAAUCACAGACUACACUCGUAGAAGUACAGGGGAUUUGUUUUUGGACACGGGUUCGACUCCCGUCUACUCCAUUA